Molecule: ribosomal RNA, 564 nt
Filed under: uncultured Actinomycetes bacterium
Lineage: Bacteria; Bacillati; Actinomycetota; Actinomycetes
Description: bacterial SSU rRNA
Rfam family: Bacterial small subunit ribosomal RNA
Source: RNAcentral
CCUACGGGAGGCAGCAGUGGGGAAUCUUGCGCAAUGGGCGAAAGCCUGACGCAGCAACGCCGCGUGCGGGAUGAAGGCCUUCGGGUUGUAAACCGCUUUUACCAGGAAGGAAAAUGACAGUACCUGGAGAAUAAGGUGCGGCCAGCUACGUGCCAGCAGCCGCGGUGACACGUAGGCACCAAGCGUUGUCCGGAUUUAUUGGGCGUAAAGAGCUCGUAGGCGGUUCAGUAAGUCGGGUGUGAAAACUCUGGGCUCAACUCAGAGACGCCACCCGAUACUGCUGUGACUUGAGUCCGGUAGGGGAGUGGGGAAUUCCUGGUGUAGCGGUGAAAUGCGCAGAUAUCAGGAGGAACACCAAUGGCGAAGGCACCACUCUGGGCCGAGACUGACGCUGAGGAGCGAAAGCGUGGGUAGCAAACAGGAUUAGAUACCCUGGUAGUCCACGCCGUAAACGGUGGGCACUAGGUGUGGGUUCCAACCAACGGAAUCCGCGCCGGCGCUAACGCAUUAAGUGCCCCGCCUGGGGAGUACGGCCGCAAGGUUAAAACUCAAAGGAAUUGACGG